RNAcentral lists this transfer RNA (90 nucleotides) under miscellaneous Crenarchaeota group-1 archaeon SG8-32-1. Its description in RNAcentral is "tRNA-Leu". The stretch from base 17 to 79 matches the Rfam family "tRNA", at positions 10 to 63 of the family's 71-position model. Rfam says of the family: Transfer RNA (tRNA) molecules are approximately 80 nucleotides in length. Their secondary structure includes four short double-helical elements and three loops (D, anti-codon, and T loops). Lineage: Archaea; Thermoproteati; Candidatus Bathyarchaeota. The record is from RNAcentral.
GCGGGUCAAAUAGAUCCCCUAGGAAAAGGGGGAGGACUUAAGAUCCUCUGGCGUAGGCCUCCAUGGGUUCAAAUCCCAUCCCCCGCACCA